UCGAGAAGGAGAGGAUGCGGAUUUCAGUACCUGGUGGACUGGGAGGGUUACGGUCUGGAGGAGAGAAGUUGGGUUCCUGCUAGAGACAUUCUGGAUCACUCUCUGAUCGAUGAUUACAAUCGUCAGAUCGUUGUUUCUCCCCGGUGUGCUCCCGUACCUGUUCCUGUGUCCUUAGUUCCUGCCUGAGUUUUCCUGUUAUCGUCGUUCGUUCCUGGAUCGUCACUCAGCACUGGAUUACCGAGCACCGUCACGAGGAUUACACACACACCGGGAUUCAAGGGAUCAUCACUGGACCGAGCACCACCAUCUGUUGUCCACCGAAG
Carassius carassius (crucian carp) is the source of this 323-nucleotide long non-coding RNA. RefSeq lists it as uncharacterized. The record is from RefSeq and is a predicted model, not a curated record. The transcript is spliced from 2 exons. Lineage: Eukaryota; Metazoa; Chordata; Actinopteri; Cypriniformes; Cyprinidae.